This 386-nucleotide ribosomal RNA is filed under the name uncultured Katablepharidophyta. RNAcentral's name for it is "partial small subunit ribosomal RNA". It matches the Rfam family "Eukaryotic small subunit ribosomal RNA", at positions 30 to 432 of the family's 1831-position model. Lineage: Eukaryota; Cryptophyceae; Kathablepharidacea. The record is from RNAcentral.
GCUUGUCUCAAAGAUUAAGCCAUGCAUGUCUAAGUAUAAACACCUUUAUACUGUGAAACUGCGUACAGCUCAUUAAAUCAGUAAUAAUUUAUUUGAUGGUGACUUACUACAUGGAUAACCGUAGUAAUUCUAGAGCUAAUACAUGCACAAAAUCCCGACUUACGAAGGGAUGUAUUUAUUAGAUACAAACCAACAUCGUGGUGAUUCAUAAUAACUUUGCGAAUCGUAUGCCUCACGGCGACGAUGAAUCAUUCAAAUUUCUGCCCUAUCAGCUUUGGAUGGUAGGGUAUUGGCCUACCAUGGCUUUAACGGGUAACGGAGAAUUAGGGUUCGAUUCCGGAGAGGGAGCCUGAGAAAUGGCUACCACAUCCAAGGAAGGCAGCAGG